AACGGCCGCGGUACCCUAACCGUGCGAAGGUAGCAUAAUCACUUGUUCUUUAAAUAGGGACUCGUAUCAACGGCAUCACGAGGGCUAUACUGUCUCCUUUCUCUAAUCAGUGAAACUGAUCUCCUCGUGAAGAAGCGAGGAUAGUUUUAUAAGACGAGAAGACCCCAUGGAGCUUUAAACCCAAUGUACAUCUCUACGCAUAUAAGCCCCAAUAGCCCAAGAAAAUUGUAUGUUGGUUUUGGGUUGGGGGGACCGCGGAGAAAAAAUUAACCUCCACGACAAACGGGCCUAUGCCCUUAUCCAUGAGCUACCGCUCUAAGAAUCAAUAAACUGAUGUUCAGUGACCCAAUUUAUUUGAUCAACGAACCAAGUUACCCUGGGGAUAACAGCGCAAUCUACUUCAAGAGCCCCUAUCGACAAGUAGGUUUACGACCUCGAUGUUGGAUCAGGGUGUCCUAGU
This 460-nucleotide ribosomal RNA is filed under the name Pelophylax saharicus (Sahara frog). Its description in RNAcentral is "partial 16S ribosomal RNA". It matches the Rfam family "Bacterial large subunit ribosomal RNA", at positions 1926 to 2551 of the family's 2925-position model. The record is from RNAcentral. Lineage: Eukaryota; Metazoa; Chordata; Amphibia; Anura; Ranidae.